This 707-nucleotide ribosomal RNA is filed under the name Brevibacillus sp. LKS-T20-10. Its description in RNAcentral is "bacterial SSU rRNA". It matches the Rfam family "Bacterial small subunit ribosomal RNA", at positions 60 to 762 of the family's 1533-position model. The record is from RNAcentral. Lineage: Bacteria; Bacillati; Bacillota; Bacilli; Caryophanales; Paenibacillaceae.
AGUCGAGCGAGGGUCUUCGGACCCUAGCGGCGGACGGGUGAGUAACACGUAGGCAACCUGCCUGUAAGACUGGGAUAACAUAGGGAAACUUAUGCUAAUACCGGAUAGGGUUUUGCUUCUCCUGAAGCGAAACGGAAAGAUGGCGCAAGCUAUCACUUACAGAUGGGCCUGCGGCGCAUUAGCUAGUUGGUGAGGUAAUGGCUCACCAAGGCGACGAUGCGUAGCCGACCUGAGAGGGUGACCGGCCACACUGGGACUGAGACACGGCCCAGACUCCUACGGGAGGCAGCAGUAGGGAAUUUUCCACAAUGGACGAAAGUCUGAUGGAGCAACGCCGCGUGAACGAUGAAGGCUUUCGGGUCGUAAAGUUCUGUUGUUAGGGAAGAAACAGUGCCAUUUAAAUAAGGUGGCACCUUGACGGUACCUAACGAGAAAGCCACGGCUAACUACGUGCCAGCAGCCGCGGUAAUACGUAGGUGGCAAGCGUUGUCCGGAAUUAUUGGGCGUAAAGCGCGCGCAGGUGGCUAUGUAAGUCUGAUGUUAAAGCCCGAGGCUCAACCUCGGUUCGCAUUGGAAACUGUGUAGCUUGAGUGCAGGAGAGGAAAGUGGUAUUCCACGUGUAGCGGUGAAAUGCGUAGAGAUGUGGAGGAACACCAGUGGCGAAGGCGACUUUCUGGCCUGUAACUGACACUGAGGCGCGAAAGCGU